This is a long non-coding RNA of Ailuropoda melanoleuca (giant panda), 967 nucleotides long. RefSeq lists it as uncharacterized. NCBI's taxonomy places the organism in Eukaryota, Metazoa, Chordata, Mammalia, Carnivora, Ursidae. The transcript is spliced from 3 exons. The record is from RefSeq and is a predicted model, not a curated record.
CAUUCCUCGCGCUCCCGGCCGCUCAGCUCGUUUCAAACGCCAGCGGCCAUCUUGGAUCACGGUAAUCACCGCCUCUGCGCGCUCCGAGUUAUACUCUCUGGCGCCAUCUUGGAUCAGGUCAGAGCCGCCUUUGGCCUCCCUCGGUGGUCCCGCAGUUUCUAACACCUGGAUGCUUCGUCGUCCCUGACUUUUUCUCUCCUUAUAAACUCUGCCUCCGUGAUGAAGCAAGAAAAUGAUGCUUUCGUUCUCCCUUUUCAUCUUGCGUCUUCCAGUGGCUCUAGCUUUAUCAGUACGAGCGUGAUCAAAUAAGCUGCCAUUUUGGGUCAGGGUAAUGGACGCCGAUAUCGCUUCCCAUCAACCCCAGAAGCCGGCGAGGAAUACGCUUUCUGGCUGGUGCUCUCUGCUCCUGUGCCAGCAGCCAGGUAGAAGGUUCAGUCUUAGAAGGUUUCUUCCCUGGCUUUAAAUUAAGUUAAAUUAAAUAAGUUACUAGUACAGUGAAGAAGGUCAACUAGAAGUGUGUCCCUUUUUCUGUCUAACUAAAGUCACACGUGUGGUCUAGGAUCCCGUGUCAUUUGUGAGGGUCUGGAAGGUUCAAGUGCAUCUUCCAGUCCGAAGCCGCUUGGGCUCAUCUGUCGCCAAGGCAGGACGAGGACGAGGUGAUUAGGCGGUCAGCUAAGGGUGACGUGCCGAGUGGAGCGAGAAACUUUCUACCCACAGUGGUCAAAAACCGAAGAGUGUUGGCUUAGACGGAAAACCUGUGUGCUGAGGAGUCUAAUCAGUUCCUUGAGAGUAAAGGAUGUUUCUGACUCAUCUCAGCAGCUCUGACUGCCAGAAGAAUCGGGCUUACCAUCAGGAGCAGGAUCGCGCUGUGUAGUCUCCAAGCUGGUGGCGUGGAAAGAAAGAGAAGGCUGCAGAGACUGAACAAACAGCAUGCACUGUGGUAUCCUUUAUUUAAAACCUGUGAGCU